AACCCCAGCACCAUGGGAACAGAGACUCACGGAAUCUUGGAGCUGAGCAGCACCAGAGAUCCUCCUAGCGCCCAGACCCUUACAUUUACUGAUCAGAAGAUGGUCUUCAGUUUACGCAUUGUCUUAGUUUAGAAAUGGAGACGAGUGUCCAAGUGAGGAUGCCUGCCGCCCUUUUGUGCUUACACUCAGGCUGAAUGGCUGCUUCGUCCCUGCUCCUCUGAGCCACCGGACACGAAGCCUCCCCAGGAAGACCUGAGACCUGGUGGGGUGCUGUCUAGAGCUAACGUGGCCCUGGAGGGACCGCAGCUGACGCCGUCUUCCACCAGCACAUCAGCGACCUGGACGGCACGUACUUGAGGUGGCAGAUGCCAGCAUCCACCAAAGUCCACCAGUGCAGCUCGAAUCCAUUUCUUCAUUUUCAUUCUGAGGGUGGGAGAACAUGCAGGCGUGCGUGUGUGUGUGUGUUCAGGUUGUGGGAGUUUUGUGUUCAGGGUAGUGUGUCUGUGCCCACUUGGGGUUGCUAUGCGUGAACUCAGUGAUGUGAGGACUGUGCAUCCAUCAGGGAGGUUUGAAAGCAAUGACGUGUGUCUGUGAUGGGGUUGAAGUAUGUGUGGGUUAUGUCGUGUACUGUACUAGAGUUUGGGUAAUGUAGGUGAACAUUCAGAUUGUUUGCGGGGGGUGUGUAUGUGUACCCGAGGAGGGGGAGCUUGUAUAAGAUACAUGUUGGAUUCUGUGGGGACAGGGUGUGCGUGUGAAUGUACAGCUUGUGCAGGCGUUAUGCAUGUCUGAGAAGGCGGGGGGUGUAAAAUAUGCACUUGGGGAUGGGGUUCGUGUGUCUGUGUGCGUACUGGGGUCAUGGACAGUUUUAGAUGUGUCUACCUGCAGGGGUGAGGAUGCCCAUUUGGAGAGUUCCGAGCCGAUGUGUGUGCAUUUUGAAAGAGUUGGGUGGUUGUCUGAACACAUUCUGAGUCCAGCAGGACGUGACGGGCAGAUUAGAAGACUGAAUGUGUGCUCCUAUGAAGAAGGCCUGGAGGCGAGUGUGUGUGUACGUGUGCACGUGCAGUGUAAUGUUUCCCAUGUUUCUGUGUGUGGGACACGCGUCCAUUAGGACAUGCUGGAUUAUCUCACGUCACAGGUGCAGAUCUUCCUCAAAUCACAAUGGGCUUACAUCCUGACAAAUCCACUGUAACGCGAGAGCACAGGAAGUCGAAGAUGCAUUGAAUCCACCUAACCUACCGAGCGUCGAACAUCGCAGCUGAGCCCAGCGUGUCUCCAGCGCGCUCAGCACGCUUAUGCGAGCCCACAGUUGAGCAGAACCGUCUCCCACAAGCCUGUUCAUAACACAGCGUUGGAUAUCUCAUGUAAUUACUGAAUACUGUACUGACAGUGAGAAACACAAUGGUUCUAAGUGCGUCGUUGUUCACCCUUGUGACCACAUGGCUGACGGGAGCUGUGCUCACCGUCACUGCCCAGCAUCACGGGAGAGGAUCAGACCACAUAUCACCUGGAAAAAGACAAAACUCAAAAUAUGAAGUACGGUUUCUACUGAAUGCGUAUCGCUUUUGCACUAUCCUCAAGCUGAAAAGUCCUAAGUCAAACCGUCGUAAGUCAGAGACCACCUGUAAUUCAGUGACGUCCAACAACACACACUUGCUUCUUACUCUGGUGGCAUGUCCUCCAUUAAUUCUAGACGGGUUCCUUGUCCUCUUCACUCUGGAUCCAGAUGGAAGGAGCAGCCCCACUGGGGCAGGACCAGACGGGAAGCGUGUGCUCAGAAGUCACACGUGGCAUUUCUGCUCACACUUCAUUGGCCAGAGCAAGUCACACGGCCACAUGCGCACUUAACAGGGUGGGAUGUAUAAUGUCUGACAGAAACACCCCCGAGAGGGACAGUACAUAUUCCUCACAGCGAUACCGUCCACCACACUGUGUGCUCAGAGCCUGUUCUACGGCAGCGGGGUAUCUCACCAAGGAGUAUGAGGAGGGUAUGGGCGAGUGUGUUUAGGUGGGUAAAGACUGGUGUGUGAUUAGGGCCACACUGUCAGGUGUGGGAUGUUUUAUAAUCACACAUUUGGGGCUUCCUGUCUGUUUUUUGGGUGAGGAGUUGGGUGUCUGUAUUCUGUGUUGUGUAUGUAUUUCAUAUAUCUAAGAUACGUAUUUCAUGUAUGUGUGUAGGUUAAACGUAUAUUCAGUGGUGUGUGGAAAUGUGUUUUUAGGGGACUAUGGGUGAG
This is a long non-coding RNA of Equus asinus (donkey), 2231 nucleotides long. NCBI's taxonomy places the organism in Eukaryota, Metazoa, Chordata, Mammalia, Perissodactyla, Equidae. The record is from Ensembl.